AACGAACGCUGGCGGCAGGCUUAACACAUGCAAGUCGAGCGCCCCGCAAGGGGAGCGGCAGACGGGUGAGUAACACGUGGGAACAUACCCAUCUCUGCGGAACAACUCCGGGAAACUGGAGCUAAUACCGCAUCCGCCCUUCGGGGGAAAGAUUUAUCGGAGAUGGAUUGGCCGGCGUUGGAUUCGCUAGUUGGUGGGGUAAAGGCCUAGCAAGGCGACGAUCCAUAGCUGGUCUGGAAGGAUGAUCAGCCAAAUUGGGACUGAGACACGGCCCAAACUCCUACGGGAGGCAGCAGUGGGGAAUAUUGGACAAUGGGCGCAAGCCUGAUCCAGCCAUGCCGCGUGAGUGAUGAAGGCCUUAGGGUUGUAAAGCUCUUUCACCGAUGAAGAUAAUGACGGUAGUCGGAGAAGAAGCCCCGGCUAACUUCGUGCCAGCCGCCGCAGUAA
This 447-nucleotide ribosomal RNA is filed under the name uncultured bacterium. Its description in RNAcentral is "partial 16S ribosomal RNA". It matches the Rfam family "Bacterial small subunit ribosomal RNA", at positions 29 to 523 of the family's 1533-position model. The record is from RNAcentral.